GAUGAACGCUGACAGAAUGCUUAACACAUGCAAGUCAACUUGAAUUUGGGUUUUUACCUUAGGUUUGGGUGGCGGACGGGUGAGUAACGCGUAAAGAACUUGCCUCACAGCUAGGGACAACAUUUGGAAACGAAUGCUAAUACCUAAUAUUAUGAUAAUAGGGCAUCCUAUAAUUAUGAAAGCUAUAAGCGCUGUGAGAGAGCUUUGCGUCCCAUUAGCUAGUUGGAGAGGUAACGGCUCACCAAGGCGAUGAUGGGUAGCCGGCCUGAGAGGGUGAUCGGCCACAAGGGGACUGAGACACGGCCCUUACUCCUACGGGAGGCAGCAGUGGGGAAUAUUGGACAAUGGACCGAGAGUCUGAUCCAGAAAUUCUGUGUGCACGAUGAAGUUUUUCGGAAUGUAAAGUGCUUUCAGUUGGGAAGAAACAAAUGACGGUACCAACAGAAGAAGUGACGGCUAAAUACGUG
RNAcentral lists this ribosomal RNA (467 nucleotides) under uncultured bacterium. Its description in RNAcentral is "partial 16S ribosomal RNA". It matches the Rfam family "Bacterial small subunit ribosomal RNA", at positions 28 to 507 of the family's 1533-position model. The record is from RNAcentral.